This 520-nucleotide ribosomal RNA is filed under the name uncultured Glomus. RNAcentral's name for it is "SSU rRNA". It matches the Rfam family "Eukaryotic small subunit ribosomal RNA", at positions 569 to 1091 of the family's 1831-position model. Lineage: Eukaryota; Fungi; Glomeromycota; Glomeromycetes; Glomerales; Glomeraceae. The record is from RNAcentral.
AGCAGCCGCGGUAAUUCCAGCUCCAAUAGCGUAUAUUAAAGUUGUUGCAGUUAAAAAGCUCGUAGUUGAAUUUCGAGAUCAAAUUGUUGGUCGUGCCUCGGUACGUACUGGCAUUAUUGAUUUCUCCCUUCUGAAGAACCUUGAUGUCAUUAAUUUGGUGUCUUGGGGAAUCAGGACCGUUACUUUGAAAAAUUAGAGUGUUUAAAGCAGGCUCACGCUUGAAUACAUUAGCAUGGAAUAAUGAAAUAGGACGUUUGAUUCUAUUUUGUUGGUUUCUAGGAUCGACGUAAUGAUUAAUAGGGAUAGUUGGGGGCAUUAGUAUUCAAUUGUCAGAGGUGAAAUUCUUGGAUUUAUUGAAGGCUAACUACUGCGAAAGCAUUUGCCAAGGAUGUUUUCAUUAGUCAAGAACGAAAGUUAGGGGAUCGAAGACGAUCAGAUACCGUCGUAGUCUUAACCAUAAACUAUGCCGACUUGGGAUCGGAUGAUGUUAAUUUUUUAAUGUACUCAUUCGGCGCCUUAA